RNAcentral lists this ribosomal RNA (345 nucleotides) under Triticum aestivum (bread wheat). RNAcentral describes it as "partial small subunit ribosomal RNA". Lineage: Eukaryota; Viridiplantae; Streptophyta; Magnoliopsida; Poales; Poaceae. The record is from RNAcentral.
AUGGCGGGGGAGGAGCAGACGGUGCUGGUGCGGUGCGCGGACCUCGCCAAGUUCGCGGUGCCGGCGUCGGUGGCGCGGCGGGCGGGGAGCGUCGCGGCGGCGCUGGAGGCGGGGCAGAGCGUGGUGGAGCUGCCGCGGGGGGUCUCCGGCAAGGGCCUCGCCACGGCGGUCGCGUACUACCAGGCCCGCGCCGAGGCGGAGGCGCGCGGCGCGGACGGCGGCGAGUUCGACGGCGAGUUCGUCCGCGGGCUGACGCACGACGCCGCCAUCGACCUCAUCUACGCCGCGCACCACCUCGGCGACGAGGCGCUCUUCAACCUCUUUGCAGGCUACAGGGCUAAUUAG